AGCGAACGCUGGCGGCAGGCUUAACACAUGCAAGUCGAACGGGCAUCUUCGGAUGUCAGCGGAAGACGGGUGAGUAACACAUGGGAACGUCCCCUUCGGUUCGGAACAACUCUGGGAAACUGGGACUAAUACCGGAUACGCCCUUAUGGGGAACGGUUUAAUGCCGAAGGAUCGGCCCGCGUCUGCUUAGCUAGCUGGUGGGGUCACGGCCUACCCAGGCGACGAUCAGUAGCUGGGCGGAGAGGAUGAUCAGCCACACUGGGACGGAGACACGGCCAAGACUCUUACGGGAGGGGGCAAUGGGGAAUAUUGGACAAUGGGCGCGAGCCAUGUCCAGCCUUGCCGUGUAAGUGAUUAAGGCAUUAGGGUUGUAGAGCCCUUUUGACCGGGACGAUAAUGACGGUACCGGAAGAAUAAGCCCCGGCUAACUUCGUG
RNAcentral lists this ribosomal RNA (435 nucleotides) under uncultured bacterium. RNAcentral's name for it is "partial 16S ribosomal RNA". It matches the Rfam family "Bacterial small subunit ribosomal RNA", at positions 29 to 507 of the family's 1533-position model. The record is from RNAcentral.